This is a long non-coding RNA of Cyprinus carpio (common carp), 897 nucleotides long. The record is from Ensembl. Lineage: Eukaryota; Metazoa; Chordata; Actinopteri; Cypriniformes; Cyprinidae.
CUGGGAUUGGCUCCUGUUUGGGCUACUUCCUGAAUAAACAAAAACAGAGGAGAACAGCUGGGCAGGUUUUGGCCCAAAGCUAAACUGCAGAAGACGCUGUUAAAAGACACCUUAGUGGGAUUCCACCUUCUCCCACUGUGUGUGUGUCCGGGACAGAGCGUCUGGAUGUAAUCUGCCAUGUGAGGGAGCAGGGGGCAUUACAGUAAGAGAGAAAGUGAAACUCUUAGGAAAUUGUAAAGUUCUUGGGAGGAGUCACAAGAAACAACGACUUCACUGAGAAGGAUGAUGGAGAAAGGAUAUGAGAUUCUCUCAAAUAACACGUAUACAAAUACUGUCAGUGUUAAUAUCACAGGGUCUUGGACGAAAGGAGAGACUCAGAUGUAGCGUUUGCAACGCUGAGUAUCAGCUGCAGAGAUGUGCACCUUGGCGGACUGUGGCCUCUCAGUGGCAGACCUGGUCCAUUCUCACCAUAGCUGUUCUCCUGCUGGCUCUGGUGCCAUUCGUGGUGUACCAGAUGACGACUGCUUUUGACAGUCCCCAUCCACACUCGCUCUUCAAGUCAGCUGCAAUCUGCUUUGGCCUGCUUAGUGAAGCCCUGUUGCUCAAGUGCUUGUGCAGUUACUUCAGCCACCGACUCCAGCGAGCAGAGCUAAGCUCCUUUAGCCUCCAACCUCGCAGAUCUGAGGAGCAUGAAGUCCAAACUAAUCUGAGUCAGUGCACCACGGCAGGGGUCAAAGGUUAGGACUCACAGACAUUGGCGGGAGAGAGGAACCACUUGGUUGUAAGCUCUGAGAGGACAGUAUCAGGGCUUCCACCGUUAAAUAUGACCAGAGGGAAUAAGACCUGUGGUGCAAGAAGAAGAAUAAAAAGAAAAAGACUGACUUAUUUAAAUGUCUG